Non-coding RNA from Candidatus Adlerbacteria bacterium, 1213 nucleotides. The record is from Rfam. Lineage: Bacteria; Candidatus Adleribacteriota.
GGAAAAGGAACAGAAAGGGCGUAUGGUGGAUGCCUUGGCUUAAAAAGGCGAUGAAGGACGCGGCGUGGCGGCGAUACGCUCCGGGGAGGUGCCAAGCAACCUUCGAUCCGGAGAUGUCCGAAUGAGGAAACUCAACGGAAAGAAAUUUUCGUUAUCUUGGCGUAUGCCAAGAAGUGCACCUCGGGAAGUGAAACAUCUCAGUACCGAGAGGAAAAGAGACUAAAUAAGUAUUUCGUAAGUAGCGGCGAGCGAAAGCGAAAAAGCCCAAACUCGAGAAACUAGAUUCUGAACGCUGAGCGAUCAGUGUUUAGGAUCUAGUACAUCUCGGGGGUUAUAAGGCAGUUAUAGGCACUUCGAGUGCCAAGAAGUUACAAAUUGUUAGUUAGCCGAACGUGCUGGAACGCAUGGCCCCAGAGGGUGAAAGCCCCGUAGGCGAAAACGAAACAACUUCUUAAUUGUCCUUGAGUAUCUCAAGACACGAAUAGCUUGAGUGAAUUUGCCGGAACUAACCGGUAAGGCUACAUACUUUUUAAGACCGAUAGUGAACCAGUACCGUGAGGGAACGGUGAAAAGCACCCCGGUGAGGGGAGUGAAAUAGAACUGAAACCAUAUGUCUACAACGAGUCGAAGAGGUCGCAAGACCUCGACGGCGUGCCUAUUGAAGAAUGAGCCUGCGAGUUUAUGUGUACUGCGCAUGACUAAGGGCGAGAGCCCGGAGUCGAAGGGAAACCGAGUGUGAAUAGCGCGUUUGUAGUACGCAUAAGACCCGAAGCAAGGUGAGCUUGCCAUGAGCAGGGUGAACACAGCCGAAAGGUUGUGGGAGGCCCGAACCGGUUAGCCGUGCAAAACUAUCGGAUGACUUGUGGUAAGGAGUGAAAAGCUAAUCGAACCUUGUAAUAGCUGGUUCUCUCUGAAACAACUUUUGGGUUGGCGUCGUAUCAAUUGACUAGUGGGGGUAGAGCACUGGAAGGAUCAAAUAGGGAGCAAUCUCGUUGAUCCUAUCAAACUCCGAAUACCGCUAGUGAUAUACGGCAGUUAGUACGUGGGGGCUAAGCUCCACCGUACAAAAGGAGAAGAGUCCUAGAUCUCAAGUUAAGGUCCCAAAAUUUACGUUAAGUACAUCACAAGGAGGUGGAAUCUCACAGACAAUGAGGAGGUUGGCUUAGAAGCAGCCAUCCUUGAAAGAAAGCGUAACAGCUCACUCAUCGAGAGA